Molecule: ribosomal RNA, 446 nt
Filed under: uncultured bacterium
Lineage: Bacteria
Description: partial 16S ribosomal RNA
Rfam family: Bacterial small subunit ribosomal RNA
Source: RNAcentral
CCUACGGGAGGCAGCAGUCGAGAAUCAUUCACAAUGGGGGAAACCCUGAUGGGGCGACGCCGCGUGGGGGAAUGAAGGUCUUCGGAUUGUAAACCCCUGUCAUGUGGGAGCAAAUUAAAAAGAUAGUACCACAAGAGGAAGAGACGGCUAACUCUGUGCCAGCAGCCGCGGUAAUACAGAGGUCUCAAGCGUUGUUCGGAAUCACUGGGCGUAAAGCGUGCGUAGGCUGUUUCGUAAGUCGUGUGUGAAAGGCGCGGGCUCAACCCGCGGACGGCACAUGAUACUGCGAGACUAGAGUAAUGGAGGGGGAACCGGAAUUCGCGGUGUAGCAGUGAAAUGCGUAGAUAUCGAGAGGAACACUCGUGGCGAAGGCGGGUUCCUGGACAUUAACUGACGCUGAGGCACGAAGGCCAGGGGAGCGAAAAGGAUUAGAUACCCUUGUAGUC